This is a long non-coding RNA of Bufo bufo (common toad), 880 nucleotides long. RefSeq lists it as uncharacterized. The record is from RefSeq and is a predicted model, not a curated record. The transcript has 2 exons. NCBI's taxonomy places the organism in Eukaryota, Metazoa, Chordata, Amphibia, Anura, Bufonidae.
AAACAUAAUAACUUACAGAAGAACAAAACAUGUUUUAUGAUAGUGUCCCUUUAAACAAAAUACAUUUUCAGUUGUGUAUAACAAAAGUUGCACUUGUAUACAUUGUAUAGUUAUAAAACUCACACUUUCCAGCCCUUUGAGAUUAAUAUGAACUCCCAUUUAACUGGGGGGAAAAAAAGAGUAACUUCUCCAUUAUCAAAAUGCAGAUGUCAGCUUUACUCCAUGUUGUAAAACCCAUAAAGGUGAACAUGUGGAAUCAGUUCAUUGGUGCAGUUUGCAGAAUGAAGACAAGACCAGAUGUAUGGUUAUACUAACUAUGAGCAGUUUGGCAACAUGCAGACAUUCAUAGGAAUCCAGAUGGAUCAAAUCCACCAUUACGUCACCAAUUGGUAUUGAAAAUAUGUCUGCCUGGUUCCACCAUGGUCCUCUUGUGAUCCCAUUAGAAAAUUUUCCCAAUAAGAUGUUUUCACCAGUCACUUGAAGAUGGGAAAAUAGUUGUGAGGCAGGGUUAGGCUAGUUUCACACUAGCGCUUACAUUGUCCAGCCGGCUGUUCCGGCAGAGGAUAGUCAAUGGGGCCUGGCGGUCCUCCAGCAGUUUCUGGCCAUACUGGAUGCGAUUAUCUCCGGAAGGCUGUUCCUCUGCACUAAGUGCUAGUGUGAAAAUAGCCUUAGGGUAUGGGUAUACAUGUCUUGCGACAACAAACAGCUGCUAAUUUUCUCCCAAAUCACUGUUUCCCAGAAAAUAUUUGUUCCAAAAUGAAUCGGCUUCACAUUUUGAAACAUACAGACAUAUGCUGUCCCCAAUAAAAUCAGAUGGAGCAUGCAAUCAAUAAUCUAGUGUAUAUCCUUAUAUAUAGACCACAUUAAUCUGAUAAAACGC